UUGCGGCCGAGGGCACGCCUGCCUGGGCGCCA
Molecule: ribosomal RNA, 32 nt
Filed under: Calamus metzianus
Lineage: Eukaryota; Viridiplantae; Streptophyta; Magnoliopsida; Arecales; Arecaceae
Description: partial 5.8S ribosomal RNA
Source: RNAcentral